GAGUGGGGGGGUGCUAUACUGCAGUCGAGCGGAUCUUCAUUAGCUUGCUUUUGAAGAUCAGCGGCGGACGGGUGAGUAACACGUGGGCAACCUGCCUGUAAGACUGGGAUAACUUCGGGAAACCGGAGCUAAUACCGGAUAAUCCUUUUCCUCUCAUGAGGAAAAGCUGAAAGACGGUUUCGGCUGUCACUUACAGAUGGGCCCGCGGCGCAUUAGCUAGUUGGUGAGGUAACGGCUCACCAAGGCGACGAUGCGUAGCCGACCUGAGAGGGUGAUCGGCCACACUGGGACUGAGACACGGCCCAGACUCCUACGGGAGGCAGCAGUAGGGAAUCUUCCGCAAUGGACGAAAGUCUGACGGAGCAACGCCGCGUGAGCGAUGAAGGCCUUCGGGUCGUAAAGCUCUGUUGUCAGGGAAGAACAAGUAUCGGAGUAACUGCCGGUACCUUGACGGUACCUGACCAGAAAGCCACGGCUAACUACGUGCCAGCAGCCGCGGUAAUACGUAGGUGGCAAGCGUUGUCCGGAAUUAUUGGGCGUAAAGCGCGCGCAGGCGGUUCCUUAAGUCUGAUGUGAAAGCCCCCGGCUCAACCGGGGAGGGUCAUUGGAAACUGGGGAACUUGAGUGCAGAAGAGGAGAGCGGAAUUCCACGUGUAGCGGUGAAAUGCGUAGAGAUGUGGAGGAACACCAGUGGCGAAGGCGGCUCUCUGGUCUGUAACUGACGCUGAGGCGCGAAAGCGUGGGGAGCGAACAGGAUUAGAUACCCUGGUAGUCCACGCCGUAAACGAUGAGUGCUAAGUGUUAGAGGGUUCCGCCCUUUAGUGCUGCAGCAAACGCAUUAAGCACUCCGCCUGGGGAGUACGGCCGCAAGGCUGAAACUCAAAGGAAUUGACGGGGGCCCGCACAAGCGGUGGAACAUGUG
This 922-nucleotide ribosomal RNA is filed under the name Mesobacillus thioparans. RNAcentral describes it as "bacterial SSU rRNA". It matches the Rfam family "Bacterial small subunit ribosomal RNA", at positions 35 to 943 of the family's 1533-position model. Lineage: Bacteria; Bacillati; Bacillota; Bacilli; Caryophanales; Bacillaceae. The record is from RNAcentral.